Molecule: ribosomal RNA, 464 nt
Filed under: Vreelandella stevensii
Lineage: Bacteria; Pseudomonadati; Pseudomonadota; Gammaproteobacteria; Oceanospirillales; Halomonadaceae
Description: partial 16S ribosomal RNA
Rfam family: Bacterial small subunit ribosomal RNA
Source: RNAcentral
CCUACGGGGUGCUGCAGUGGGGAAUAUUGGACAAUGGGCGAAAGCCUGAUCCAGCCAUGCCGCGUGUGUGAAGAAGGCCUUCGGGUUGUAAAGCACUUUCAGUGGGGAAGAAAGCCUUGGGGCUAAUACCCUCGAGGAAGGACAUCACCCACAGAAGAAGCACCGGCUAACUCCGUGCCAGCAGCCGCGGUAAUACGGAGGGUGCGAGCGUUAAUCGGAAUUACUGGGCGUAAAGCGCGCGUAGGCGGUCUGAUAAGCCGGUUGUGAAAGCCCCGGGCUCAACCUGGGAACGGCAUCCGGAACGGUCAGGCUAGAGUGCAGGAGAGGGAGGUAGAAUUCCCGGGGUAGCGGUGAAAUGCGUAGAGAUCGGGAGGAAUACCAGUGGCGAAGGCGGCCUUCUGGACUGACACUGACGCUGAGGUGCGAAAGCGUGGGUAGCAAACAGGAUUAGAUACCCGGUAGUC